UAAUAAUAGUACCAUUGAUAUAGAAAUAGAGGAAAUGAUUUAAAUGUUGUUAUAAUCUUAGUAGUUACCUAAUAAAAAUGGUUUAGUAAAUGUAAUAGUACUGUGAGGGAAAGCAGCAAAUAAUAAAAAGUAAUGGUUAACACGUGUACCUUUUGCAUCAUGGUUUAGUAAGAUUGAAGUAUUAAAUAUUGAUGGUUCUCGAAGCCGGACGAGCGUCCUUUUCGUUACAUUUAGUGUAAAACCUUGCUUAUGUGGCAAUAUAAGGAGGAAAUAAAAAGGAAGGGUUGAGAUUUUAUUCGUGUCUGGGGAUAGCUAGUUUUUUCGAAAAUACAUGUUAGUGUAGCGGCCAUAUGUAUAACUAAGUCUUUUUCUAUACCAUGCGGAUUGAGGCUACGGUUAUUUUAUUUCCGUCAGGCAUUGGAGGCUAAGCUCUGAUGUUAAUAGAUUGUUGAAAUAUGCGUCUAUUUUAGAGGAGGGUGGCUUAAAAGUAGUUGGCCUGUUGUCAGUUUGUUAUAAGUGACUUAUUAUUUAUUAGCUACAUGCACCGAUAGAUCUAACACAGUAAUAAAUUUGACGAAGGUACAUUCAAUAAUAUCGGUGAUUGAAAAUAAUGCUAGAAUGAGUAUUUUACGGAGGACCACGAGGAAUACAUAGUUUUUCUAUCUACAAGGGAGAAUACUUGAAACUAGAGAUAAUAGUUACAUAUUUAGAAAAGGAAUUCGGCAAAUAAAACCUCCGCCUGUAUAACAAAAACAUGGCUCUUUGUCUCAGCUAUAAAGAGUCUGACCUGCUCUAUGAUUUUUUUAAUUUAAUGGCCGCGGUACCCUGACCGUGCAAAGGUAGCAUAAUCACUUGCCUUUUAAUUGGAGGCUGGUAUGAAUGGUUGGACGGGAGGUUGGCUGUCUCUACUAAAAUAUGAGAAUUUAAUCUAUAGGUACAAAAGCCUAUAUUAUAUUAAAAGACGAGAAGACCCUAGCGAGCUUUAUUCUAGCCGUGUAUGUCCUCGUUCACGGCAGAUUUUGGUUGGGGCGACAGAGGAAAAAACAGCAUCCUUGCUUUAUGGUGGAAUGAUGAUUAUAGAUCCAACUAAUGUUGAGUGACAGGUGAGCUACCGUAGGGAUAACAGCGUAAUCUUUUUAGAGAGUUCUAAUCGAAAAAAGGGUUUGCGACCUCGAUGUUGGACUAGGAUAUCCUAAGGGUGCAGAAGCUCUUGAGGGUCGGUCUGUUCGACCGUUAAUAUCCUACAUGAUCUGAGUUCAGACCGG
This 1265-nucleotide ribosomal RNA is filed under the name Dendropoma psarocephalum. RNAcentral describes it as "16S ribosomal RNA". The stretch from base 678 to 1265 matches the Rfam family "Archaeal large subunit ribosomal RNA", at positions 1423 to 2688 of the family's 2987-position model. The record is from RNAcentral. Lineage: Eukaryota; Metazoa; Mollusca; Gastropoda; Littorinimorpha; Vermetidae.